RNAcentral lists this ribosomal RNA (800 nucleotides) under uncultured bacterium. RNAcentral's name for it is "bacterial SSU rRNA". It matches the Rfam family "Bacterial small subunit ribosomal RNA", at positions 8 to 780 of the family's 1533-position model. The record is from RNAcentral.
AGAGUUUGAUCCUGGCUCAGAAUGAACGCUGGCGGCGUGCCUAACACAUGCAAGUCGCACGAGAACGUUUCAGCUUGCUGAGACUAUUAAAGUGGCGCACGGGUGAGUAACGCGUGGGUAAUCUACCUCCGAAUUGGGGAUAACACUGCGAAAGCGGUGCUAAUACCGAAUGAUAUCCCCGAGACUCUGGUCUUGGUGAUCAAAGGUGGCCUCUACAUGUAAGCUAUUGUUUGGAGAUGAGCCCGCGUACCAUUAGCUUGUUGGUAGGGUAACGGCCUACCAAGGCUUCGAUGGUUAGCUGGUCUGAGAGGAUGAUCAGCCACACUGGAACUGACACACGGUGCAGACUCCUACGGGAGGCAGCAGUGAGGAAUUUUGCGCAAUGGGGGAAACCCUGACGCAGCAACGCCGCGUGAGUGAUGAAGGCUUUCGGGUCGUAAAGCUCUGUCAAGUGGGAAGAACCUGCUUCGUGCCAAUACCACGAGGCACUGACGGUACCACUGAAGGAAGCACCGGCUAACUCCGUGCCAGCAGCCGCGGUAAUACGGGGGGUGCUAGCGUUAUUCGGAAUCAUUGGGCGUAAAGGGCGCGUAGGCGGUCGCUUAAGUCAGAUGUAAAAGCCCUCGGCUUAACCGAGGAAGUGCAUUUGAUACUAGGCGACUUGAGUAUGGGAGAGGGAAGCGGAAUUCCUGGUGUAGCGGUGAAAUGCGUAGAUAUCAGGAGGAACACCGGUGGCGAAGGCGGCUUCCUGGACCAAUACUGACGCUGAGGCGCGAAGGCGUGGGGAGCAAACAGGAUUA